GUUGUGUUACUUUUGUAAGUAAAUCCAGUGAAAAGUCGACUACGGUUAUUUAUAGAUAUAAGAAGAUGUGGUAUGAAUUUAAAAGAGUUUAUAAUAUGUAAAAAUGUGAGACAAGAUGGCUGUAUCUGGGUUUCAAUAAGAAGAACACAUCCGCGGUCAAUCAAUUCAUAAUCGAGUUUGUAAAGCGUUCAAAAGGAAUGAUUUUAACUUGGUACCUUUUACGCAAUAGCUUAAUUGAAAGCAGUAAUGAAUACAAUGCGAGAAGCGCAAGAUCAUUUAGACACGCUGCUGGAAUGUUACUACAUAAAAAUGUAAAAGAGGGUCGAAAAGACACUGACAACGUCAUGGCUAAAACAGAAAAAGAUACAGAGCCAAACAAAAGUACACAAAACACAACAUAGGUAACUAAAGACUGAACAAGACGAUCCCUUUAACUACAGCCACAUUCUUAAAUUCAUUUUCAGUAAUGCUAAAAAUAUUUGAAACAUG
This 489-nucleotide long non-coding RNA is filed under the name Mytilus galloprovincialis (Mediterranean mussel). Lineage: Eukaryota; Metazoa; Mollusca; Bivalvia; Mytilida; Mytilidae. The record is from RNAcentral.